GGAAAUCUCACCAGGCCCGGACACUGGAAGGAUUGACAGAUUGAGAGCUCUUUCUCGAUUCGGUGGGUGGUGGUGCAUGGCCGUUCUUAGUUGGUGGAGUGAUUUGUCUGGUUAAUUCCGAUAACGAACGAGACUCUGUCCUGCUAAAUAGUGUCAGCCUCUCUUUUGGGCUGACAAUUCUUCUUAGAGGGACUGGCGGCCCCUAGCCGCACGAAAUAGAGCAAUAA
This 227-nucleotide ribosomal RNA is filed under the name uncultured eukaryote. RNAcentral's name for it is "partial small subunit ribosomal RNA". It matches the Rfam family "Eukaryotic small subunit ribosomal RNA", at positions 1208 to 1456 of the family's 1831-position model. The record is from RNAcentral.